Molecule: non-coding RNA, 478 nt
Organism: Enhydra lutris kenyoni (northern sea otter)
Lineage: Eukaryota; Metazoa; Chordata; Mammalia; Carnivora; Mustelidae
Source: the annotation of a RefSeq genome assembly
CUCAUCAGGUCAGCUUCUCAAAAUGAGGUUCCCUUCUCAGCUCCUGGGGCUGCUGAUGCUCUGGGUCCCAGGAUCCAGCGGGGUUAUCGUGCUGACACAGACCCCAUUGUCCCUGUCCGUCACCCCCGGAGAGCUGGCCUCCAUCUCCUGCAGGGACAGUCAGAGCCUUGUACACGAUAAUGGAAACACCUAUUUGCAUUGGUUCCGGCAGAAGCCAGGCCAGUCCCCACAGCUCCUCAUCUAUAAGGUUUCCAACCAUUUCACUGGGGUCCCAGACAGGUUCAGUGGCAGCGGGUCAGGGACAGAUUUCACCCUGACAAUCAGCAGGGUGGGAGCUGACGAUGUGGGAGUUUAUUACUGUCAGCAAAGUAUACAGUAUCCUCUCACAGUGGUUCAGGCCCAAACACAAACCUCUCAGUUUGGCGGUCCCCACUGGGCAUGUGUGUUGCCUGAGCUGGGAGCCCAGCAGAGGCUCUGA